GGUGAAAACACUAUUACAGUAGUUGACAGCUUUUUUCCAUAAGAAAUUACAGGCAUAUUUGCGCUUGACUGUAAAUGAUGCAGUACAGGUACAGUUAUUUACUGUUGAAUGCGUUGCACGAGGCAGUUGCUUUACACAAGACCAUUUGAUGGCGGAUUGCUGAGGAGCCACAUUGCCACUCCACUCAGCCACAAUACGCAUGCAGCAGAAGUAGCUAACGCUACUGGACGGUCAGGCGCCCCGGAGUCGGGUCGUUGCCUAGCCACAGGGAGGAGAAACAUCCUGAACAGAGCGCCAUCGCUGCACAGUGAUCAACAUACAUGGCUGAAGAAUCUUUUCAGGUGAAUUUCUCACAGCAACCGUUUGGAUGCUGAGCAUCGGGGGUCAGGUGGUUGUGCCUCCACAUCCCAACUUCGUGGCUGGGAUGGCAGCUUUGUUUUCGAGCUACUACAUCUUUAAUCUGGUGUUACCGGAGCAAGCAUCUUGCACACUAAAAUUCAUUCAAAGAUGCUUCAUCGUACUGAACCCUUCAAGUGGAACCAAGACAACAAAAGUGUUGAGCCAAAAACAUGAGAACAUACAGGAGAAAGAGAGGAACUGCAUGAACCCUUGCGUCUCCUCUCUACUCAAUGGGAGGUAGGGGGAGAGGUAGACGUCAACAAAUGACAAAAAGUAACACAGAUGGUUCCUCGAAAUGCUCUCCAAGAAUCAGUUCACUAAUUAAACACGGAGCACACCGAACAGACUUGAGUCACCAACCUCGCCGGA
Long non-coding RNA from Etheostoma spectabile (orangethroat darter), 768 nucleotides. RefSeq lists it as uncharacterized. The transcript is spliced from 5 exons. The record is from RefSeq and is a predicted model, not a curated record. Lineage: Eukaryota; Metazoa; Chordata; Actinopteri; Perciformes; Percidae.